This 447-nucleotide ribosomal RNA is filed under the name uncultured bacterium. RNAcentral's name for it is "partial 16S ribosomal RNA". It matches the Rfam family "Bacterial small subunit ribosomal RNA", at positions 29 to 523 of the family's 1533-position model. The record is from RNAcentral.
AACGAACGCUGGCGGCAGGCUUAACACAUGCAAGUCGAGCGCCCCGCAAGGGGAGCGGCAGACGGGUGAGUAACGCGUGGGAAUCUACCCAUCACUACGGAACAACUCCGGGAAACUGGAGCUAAUACCGCAUACGUCCUUCGGGAGAAAGAUUUAUCGGUGAUGGAUGAGCCCGCGUUGGAUUAGCUAGUUGGUGGGGUAAUGGCCCACCAAGGCGACGAUCCAUAGCUGGUCCGAGGGGAUGAUCAGCCACACUGGGACUGAGACACGGCCCAGACUCCUACGGGAGGCAGCAGUGGGGAAUAUUGGACAAUGGGCGCAAGCCUGAUCCAGCCAUGCCGCGUGAGUGAUGAAGGCCCUAGGGUUGUAAAGCUCUUUCACCGGUGAAGAUAAUGACGGUAACCGGAGAAGAAGCCCCGGCUAACUUCGUGCCAGCAGCCGCAGUAA